This 918-nucleotide ribosomal RNA is filed under the name Bacillus sp. enrichment culture clone E2. RNAcentral describes it as "bacterial SSU rRNA". It matches the Rfam family "Bacterial small subunit ribosomal RNA", at positions 32 to 932 of the family's 1533-position model. The record is from RNAcentral. Lineage: Bacteria; Bacillati; Bacillota; Bacilli; Caryophanales; Bacillaceae.
GAGGCUUUGCUGCAGCUAUAAUGCAGUCGAGCGGACAGAUGGGAGCUUGCUCCCUGAUGUUAGCGGCGGACGGGUGAGUAACACGUGGGUAACCUGCCUGUAAGACUGGGAUAACUCCGGGAAACCGGGGCUAAUACCGGAUGCUUGUUUGAACCGCAUGGUUCAAACAUAAAAGGUGGCUUCGGCUACCACUUACAGAUGGACCCGCGGCGCAUUAGCUAGUUGGUGAGGUAAUGGCUCACCAAGGCAACGAUGCGUAGCCGACCUGAGAGGGUGAUCGGCCACACUGGGACUGAGACACGGCCCAGACUCCUACGGGAGGCAGCAGUAGGGAAUCUUCCGCAAUGGACGAAAGUCUGACGGAGCAACGCCGCGUGAGUGAUGAAGGUUUUCGGAUCGUAAAGCUCUGUUGUUAGGGAAGAACAAGUACCGUUCGAAUAGGGCGGUACCUUGACGGUACCUAACCAGAAAGCCACGGCUAACUACGUGCCAGCAGCCGCGGUAAUACGUAGGUGGCAAGCGUUGUCCGGAAUUAUUGGGCGUAAAGGGCUCGCAGGCGGUUCCUUAAGUCUGAUGUGAAAGCCCCCGGCUCAACCGGGGAGGGUCAUUGGAAACUGGGGAACUUGAGUGCAGAAGAGGAGAGUGGAAUUCCACGUGUAGCGGUGAAAUGCGUAGAGAUGUGGAGGAACACCAGUGGCGAAGGCGACUCUCUGGUCUGUAACUGACGCUGAGGAGCGAAAGCGUGGGGAGCGAACACGAUUAGAUACCCUGGUAGUCCACGCCGUAAACGAUGAGUGCUAAGUGUUGAGGGGGUUUCCCCCCCUUAGUGCUGCAGCUAACCGCAUUUAUCACUCCGCCUGGCGGAGGUACGGUCGCAGGACUGAACUUAAAAAAAUUGACUGGGGCCCCGCCCACCGG